Pelobates cultripes (western spadefoot toad) is the source of this 203-nucleotide non-coding RNA. The record is from the annotation of a GenBank genome assembly. Lineage: Eukaryota; Metazoa; Chordata; Amphibia; Anura; Pelobatidae.
GACCACUUCAGCUUAAUGUGCCAGGUCCUUCUAGGGUUAACCCAUUUUUUUAUAAACAUAGCAGUUUCUGAGAAACUGCUAUGUUUAUGAAUGGGUUAAGCCUUCCCCCUAAUCCUCUAGUGGCUGUCUAAUUGACAGCCACUAGAGGCGCUUGCGUGCUUCUCACUGUGAUUUUCACUGUGAUUGAGAAUGCUUUCCUAUGC